ACGAACGCUGGCGGCGUGCUUUAACACAUGCAAGUCGAACGGUGACGGAGAGCUUGCUCUCCUGAUCAGUGGCGAACGGGUGAGUAACACGUGGGCAACCUGCCCCAGACUUCGGGAUAACGCUUCGAAAGAGGUGCUAAUACCGAAUACGAACCUCCCUGGCAUCUGGGAGGUUGGAAAGUUUUUCGGUCUGGGAUGGGCCCGCGGCCUAUCAGCUUGUUGGUGAGGUAACGGCUCACCAAGGCGACGACGGGUAGCCGGCCUGAGAGGGCGACCGGCCACACUGGGACUGAGACACGGCCCAGACUCCUACGGGAGGCAGCAGUGGGGAAUAUUGCGCAAUGGGCGAAAGCCUGACGCAGCAACGCCGCGUGAGGGAUGACGGCCUUCGGGUUGUAAACCUCUUUCAGCAGGGAAGAAGCGAAAGUGACGGUACCUGCAGAAGAAGCACCGGCUAACUACGUG
This 465-nucleotide ribosomal RNA is filed under the name uncultured bacterium. Its description in RNAcentral is "bacterial SSU rRNA". It matches the Rfam family "Bacterial small subunit ribosomal RNA", at positions 29 to 507 of the family's 1533-position model. The record is from RNAcentral.